This 54-nucleotide ribosomal RNA is filed under the name Porphyromonas canoris. Its description in RNAcentral is "partial 23S ribosomal RNA". Lineage: Bacteria; Pseudomonadati; Bacteroidota; Bacteroidia; Bacteroidales; Porphyromonadaceae. The record is from RNAcentral.
AGGCCACAGGUGCAAGUGCAGUAAUGUAUUCAGCCGAGUGGUACUAAUCUCCCG